RNAcentral lists this transfer RNA (71 nucleotides) under Ovis aries (sheep). It matches the Rfam family "tRNA". Rfam says of the family: Transfer RNA (tRNA) molecules are approximately 80 nucleotides in length. Lineage: Eukaryota; Metazoa; Chordata; Mammalia; Artiodactyla; Bovidae. The record is from Rfam by way of RNAcentral.
UCCCUGGUGGUCCAGUGGCUAAGACUCUGACCCCCAAUGCAGGGGCCCAGGUUCAAUACUUGGUCAGGGAA